This 406-nucleotide ribosomal RNA is filed under the name uncultured bacterium. Its description in RNAcentral is "bacterial SSU rRNA". It matches the Rfam family "Bacterial small subunit ribosomal RNA", at positions 355 to 774 of the family's 1533-position model. The record is from RNAcentral.
UGGGGAAUAUUGCACAAUGGGCGCAAGCCUGAUGCAACGACGCCGCGUGAGGGAUGACGGCCUUCGGGUUGUAAACCUCUUUCAGCAGGGAAGAAGCGCAAGUGACGGUACCUGCAGAAGAAGCGCCGGCUAACUACGUGCCAGCAGCCGCGGUAAUACGUAGGGCGCAAGCGUUGUCCGGAAUUAUUGGGCGUAAAGAGCUCGUAGGCGGUUUGUCGCGUCUGCUGUGAAAACGCGAGGCUCAACCUCGCGCCUGCAGUGGGUACGGCAGACUAGAGUGCGGUAGGGGAGACUGGAAUUCCUGGUGUAGCGGUGGAAUGCGCAGAUAUCAGGAGGAACACCGGUGGCGAAGGCGGGUCUCUGGGCCGUAACUGACGCUGAGGAGCGAAAGCAUGGGGAGCGAACA